CAGCAGUCGCCGCGGGAAUACGAAGGGUGCAAGCGUUAAUCGGAAUUACUGGGCGUAAAGCGCACGUAGGCGGCUUGGUGAGUUAGAGGUGAAAGCCUGGAGCUCAACUCCAGAAUUGCCUUUAAGACUGCCGAGCUAGCAGGUGAGAGAGGUAAGUGGAAUUCCGAGUGUAAAGGUGAAAUUCGUAGAUAUUCGGAAGAACACCAGUGGCGAAGGCGGCUUACUGGCUCAUACUGGACGCUGAGGUGCGAAAGCGUGGGGAGCAAACAGGAUUAGAUACCCCCGUAGUCCCUGUCUCUUAUAC
This 304-nucleotide ribosomal RNA is filed under the name uncultured bacterium. Its description in RNAcentral is "partial 16S ribosomal RNA". It matches the Rfam family "Bacterial small subunit ribosomal RNA", at positions 509 to 807 of the family's 1533-position model. The record is from RNAcentral.